This 420-nucleotide ribosomal RNA is filed under the name Triticum aestivum (bread wheat). Its description in RNAcentral is "partial small subunit ribosomal RNA". Lineage: Eukaryota; Viridiplantae; Streptophyta; Magnoliopsida; Poales; Poaceae. The record is from RNAcentral.
AUGGCUCCUACCGAGGCUGAGGCUGAUGUAGAGGAGGGAGAAGAGAAGAAGAAGAGGGAAAGGAAAGCAGCCGGAGCUGCUUUCACGUGGAUUCAAAAUAACUUUGCGACGUGCCCUCCGGAUGCCACUGAUGAUGUGAUCCAGACACAUGCUCGUGUGUAUAUGUGGUACGUUGUGUCGAGGACUUUGUUUCCUGACUCCACUGGCAAGAACGCUCCAUGGAUGUGGCUGAAGGCGUUGACCAUCUUCGAUAGCAAAUGGAGCUGGGGUUCAGCGACUCUUGCCUACUUGUACCGACAGGUAGUUGGUCUGUUUUGUGAUCAACUCAUUUCUUCAUUAGCAAUGCAAGCUUGCUGUCAAGUUAACAUUGUUUUUCUUUCAUAUGUAGUUGGACGAUGCGUGUUGCAGGAUCACAGAUAG